AGGAUAAACGCUGGCGGCGUGCCUAACACAUGCAAGUCGAACGCGCUUGCUAUCCGCGAGGACGGUGAGCGAGUGGCGGACGGGUGAGGAACACGUGGGUGACCUACCUUUCAGUGAGGGAUACCGGCGAGAAGUUGCCGACAAGACCGCAUACGCUUCUCUUUUCAAGGGGAGAAGGAAAGCUUUUCGCAAGAGAGGCGCUGGGAGAUGGGCCUGCGGCCGAUUAGCUAGCUGGUGGGGUAAUGGCCUACCAGGGCGACGAUCGGUAGCUGGUCUGAGAGGACGAUCAGCCACACUGGGAUUGAGAACGGCCCAGACUCCUACGGGGGGCAGCAGUGAGGAAUUUUCGGCAAUGGGGGCAACCCUGACCGAGCAACGCCGCGUGCAGGACGACGGCCUUCGGGUUGUAAACUGCUUUUCUCUGGGACGAGCAAGGACGGUACCAGAGGAAGAACGCCCGGCUAACUACGCGCCAGCAGCCGCGGU
RNAcentral lists this ribosomal RNA (486 nucleotides) under uncultured bacterium. Its description in RNAcentral is "SSU rRNA". It matches the Rfam family "Bacterial small subunit ribosomal RNA", at positions 26 to 521 of the family's 1533-position model. The record is from RNAcentral.